Molecule: ribosomal RNA, 253 nt
Filed under: uncultured bacterium
Lineage: Bacteria
Description: partial 16S ribosomal RNA
Rfam family: Bacterial small subunit ribosomal RNA
Source: RNAcentral
UACGUAGGGACCAAGCGUUGUUCGGAUUUACUGGGCGUAAAGGGCGCGUAGGCGGCGUGACAAGUCACUUGUGAAAUCUCCGGGCUUAACCCGGAACUGCCAAGUGAUACUGUCGUGCUAGAGUGCGGAAGGGGCAAUCGGAAUUCUCGGUGUAGCGGUGAAAUGCGUAGAUAUCGAGAGGAACACCUGAGGUGAAGACGGGUUGCUGGGCCGACACUGACACUGAGGCACGAAGGCCAGGGGAGCAAACGGG